CUAGCUGGUUAGGAUACUCGGC
Molecule: non-coding RNA, 22 nt
Filed under: Arabidopsis thaliana (thale cress)
Lineage: Eukaryota; Viridiplantae; Streptophyta; Magnoliopsida; Brassicales; Brassicaceae
Source: RNAcentral